UUGGAGGAAAGCAGGGGAUCGCAAGACCUUGCGCUUUUGGAGUGGCCGAUGCCUGAUUAGCUAGUUGGUGGGGUAAUGGCCUACCAAGGCGACGAUCAGUAGUUGGUCUGAGAGGACGACCAGCCACACUGGGACUGAGACACGGCCCAGACUCCUACGGGAGGCAGCAGUGGGGAAUUUUGGACAAUGGGCGAAAGCCUGAUCCAGCAAUGCCGCGUGAGUGAAGAAGGCCUUCGGGUUGUAAAGCUCUUUCAGUCGAGAAGAAAAGGUUGUGACUAAUAAUCACAACUCAUGACGGUAUCGACAGAAGAAGCACCGGCUAACUACGUGCCAGCAGCCGCGGUAAUACGUAGGGUGCGAGCGUUAAUCGGAAUUACUGGGCGUAAAGGGUGCGCAGGCGGCUUUGUAAGUCAGAUGUGA
This 420-nucleotide ribosomal RNA is filed under the name uncultured ammonia-oxidizing beta proteobacterium. RNAcentral's name for it is "bacterial SSU rRNA". It matches the Rfam family "Bacterial small subunit ribosomal RNA", at positions 196 to 597 of the family's 1533-position model. Lineage: Bacteria; Pseudomonadati; Pseudomonadota; Betaproteobacteria. The record is from RNAcentral.